This 231-nucleotide ribosomal RNA is filed under the name uncultured bacterium. RNAcentral describes it as "partial 16S ribosomal RNA". It matches the Rfam family "Bacterial small subunit ribosomal RNA", at positions 124 to 354 of the family's 1533-position model. The record is from RNAcentral.
CCUAGCCUUGGAGUGGGGAAUAACAGCUGGAAACAGCUGCUAAUACCGCAUGAAAUAUCUGUGUCGCAUGGCACUGGAUAUCAAAGAUUUAUCGCUCUGAGAUGGACUCGCGUCUGAUUAGCUAGUUGGCGGGGUAACGGCCCACCAAGGCGACGAUCAGUAGCCGGACUGAGAGGUUGGCCGGCCACAUUGGGACUGAGACACGGCCCAGACUCCUACGGGAGGCAGCAG